RNAcentral lists this ribosomal RNA (497 nucleotides) under uncultured bacterium. RNAcentral describes it as "partial 16S ribosomal RNA". It matches the Rfam family "Bacterial small subunit ribosomal RNA", at positions 28 to 507 of the family's 1533-position model. The record is from RNAcentral.
GAUGAACGCUGGCGGCGUGCCUAAUACAUGCAAGUCGAGCGAACAGACGAGGAGCUUGCUCCUCUGACGUUAGCGGCGGACGGGUGAGUAACACGUGGAUAACCUACCUAUAAGACUGGGAUAACUUCGGGAAACCGGAGCUGAUACCGGAUAAUAUAUUGAACCGCAUGGUUCAAUAGUGAAAGACGGUUUUGCUGUCACUUAUAGAUGGAUCCGCGCCGCAUUAGCUAGUUGGUAAGGUAACGGCUUACCAAGGCAACGAUGCGUAGCCGACCUGAGAGGGUGAUCGGCCACACUGGAACUGAGACACGGUCCAGACUCCUGCGGGAGGCAGCAGUAGGGAAUCUUCCGCAAUGGGCGAAAGCCUGACGGAGCAACGCCGCGUGAGUGAUGAAGGUCUUCGGAUCGUAAAACUCUGUUAUUAGGGAAGAACAAAUGUGUAAGUAACUAUGCACGUCUUGACGGUACCUAAUCAGAAAGCCACGGCUAACUACGUG